GACGAACGCUGGCGGCGUGCCUAACACAUGCAAGUCGAACGAGAUGCGUAUCGGAAAGCUUCGGCCGGAAGAUGCGUUAUCUAGUGGCGGACGGGUGAGUAACACGUGGGUAACCUGCCUUAUGGAGGGGGAUAACAGAGAGAAAUCACUGCUAAUACCGCAUAAGCACACAGUACCGCAUGGUAGAGUGUGAAAAGAUUUAUCGCCAUAAGAUGGACCCGCGUCUGAUUAGCCAGUUGGCAGGGUAAAAGCCUACCAAAGCGACGAUCAGUAGCCGAUCUGAGAGGAUGACCGGCCACAUUGGGACUGAGACACGGCCCAAACUCCUACGGGAGGCAGCAGUGGGGAAUAUUGCACAAUGGGGGAAACCCUGAUGCAGCGACGCCGCGUGAGUGAAGAAGUAUUUCGGUAUGUAAAGCUCUAUCAGCAGGGAAGAUAAUGA
This 442-nucleotide ribosomal RNA is filed under the name Oribacterium sinus. RNAcentral describes it as "bacterial SSU rRNA". It matches the Rfam family "Bacterial small subunit ribosomal RNA", at positions 28 to 454 of the family's 1533-position model. Lineage: Bacteria; Bacillati; Bacillota; Clostridia; Lachnospirales; Lachnospiraceae. The record is from RNAcentral.